This 492-nucleotide ribosomal RNA is filed under the name uncultured bacterium. Its description in RNAcentral is "partial 16S ribosomal RNA". It matches the Rfam family "Bacterial small subunit ribosomal RNA", at positions 29 to 507 of the family's 1533-position model. The record is from RNAcentral.
AGUGAACGCUGGCGGUAGGCCUAACACAUGCAAGUCGAACGGCAGCACAGUAAGAGCUUGCUCUUACGGGUGGCGAGUGGCGGACGGGUGAGGAAUACAUCGGAAUCUACUUUUUCGUGGGGGAUAACGUAGGGAAACUUACGCUAAUACCGCAUACGACCUACGGGUGAAAGCAGGGGAUCUUCGGACCUUGCGCGAUUGAAUGAGCCGAUGUCGGAUUAGCUAGUUGGCGGGGUAAAGGCCCACCAAGGCGGCGAUCCGUAGCUGGUCUGAGAGGAUGGUCGGCCACACUGGAGCUGAGACACGGUCCAGACUCCUACGGGAGGCAGCAGUGGGGAAUAUUGGACAAUGGGCGCAAGCCUGAUCCAGCCAUACCGCGUGGGUGAAGAAGGCCUUCGGGUUGUAAAGCCCUUUUGUUGGGAAAGAAAAGCAGCAGGUUAAUACCCCGCUGUUCUGACGGUACCCAAAGAAUAAGCACCGGCUAACUUCGUG